GUGCUCGCUUCGGCAGCACACAUGCUGAAAUUGGAACGAUACACAGAUUAGCAUGGCCCCUGCACAAGGAUGACAUGCAAAUUCGUGAAGCAUUCCAUAUUAAA
This 104-nucleotide small nuclear RNA is filed under the name Myotis davidii. The record is from RNAcentral. Lineage: Eukaryota; Metazoa; Chordata; Mammalia; Chiroptera; Vespertilionidae.